This 253-nucleotide ribosomal RNA is filed under the name uncultured bacterium. RNAcentral's name for it is "partial 16S ribosomal RNA". It matches the Rfam family "Bacterial small subunit ribosomal RNA", at positions 524 to 776 of the family's 1533-position model. The record is from RNAcentral.
UACGUAGGGUGCGAGCGUUAAUCGGAAUUACUGGGCGUAAAGCGUGCGCAGGCGGCUUGGCAAGACAGAUGUGAAAUCCCCGGGCUCAACCUGGGAACUGCAUUUGUGACUGCAAGGCUAGAGUACGGCAGAGGGGGAUGGAAUUCCGCGUGUAGCAGUGAAAUGCGUAGAUAUGCGGAGGAACACCAAUGGCGAAGGCAAUCCCCUGGGCCUGUACUGACGAUCAUGCACGAAAGCGUGGGGAGCAAACAGG